Molecule: long non-coding RNA, 638 nt
Organism: Hyla sarda
Lineage: Eukaryota; Metazoa; Chordata; Amphibia; Anura; Hylidae
Exons: 3
Source: RefSeq, a predicted model, not a curated record
CUGCCUUGCUUUAUGGCCGCUGUAAUACAGACUUCAAUCAUAAAAAGCAUCGCCCUACAUUUUAAUGGCCCUCAUCAUCCUCUCUCCUCUGCCUAUAUCCCACAGAUAAAUCACGCCCAGCACUGCAAAUGAAUAGCCCGUCUUUGGAUGCCACUCUCCAGCUUCUGAUUGGCUUUAGUCGGCUACGACAUGGCUUGGGGGAGACGGAUCAUAGUAUUUCUGGUUUUGGUUCAUUCUCACCAUGUCUUUGGACUUUGUGGUUCUGAAUUUUAUAGGUAUUUUUGUUAGUCUUUUUUGUGUAUUUGAGAAGAAACAUGAGACAUGAGAAUGUCUUUUCUCACAGGUUCUGAUAAGGAAUGGAUGUGUCAAAGGUUAUGUAAUCUUACAGACGCCUAUAGGAAGGAAUAACAUACGGAAGAAAUUAAUCCAAUUGUGUCUGUUGAUGAUAUCAUUCCCUGGGUGACGUCAAGGGGAAUAUGUGGGAGCUGGGAACAAGAACCAAGGGAGUUCCGUCUAUCCUGUGGGCUACUUCAGAUUUGAUGGACUACGAUGACCAGCGUAUUUAUUUUUGCUUAAUAUUAACAGCAUUUUGUAACGAGGGCUUGUGGGGGAGUAUUUUUUGGAAUAAAAGUUUAAAA